GACGAACGCUGGCGGCGUGCUUAACACAUGCAAGUCGUACGGUAAGGCCCUUUCGGGGGUACACGAGUGGCGAACGGGUGAGUAACACGUGAGUAACCUGCCCACAACUUUGGGAUAACGCUAGGAAACUGGUGCUAAUACUGGAUAUGUGCUCCUGCUGCAUGGUGGGGGUUGGAAAGCUCCGGCGGUUGUGGAUGGACUCGCGGCCUAUCAGCUUGUUGGUGGGGUAGUGGCCUACCAAGGCGGCGACGGGUAGCCGGCCUGAGAGGGUGACCGGCCAAAUUGGGACUGAGAUACGGCCAAGACUCCUACGGGAGGCAGCAGUGGGGAAUAUUGCACAAUGGGCGGAAGCCUGAUGCAGCAACGCCGCGGGCGGGAUGACGGCCUUCGGGUUGUAAACCGCUUUCGGCAGGGACGAAGCUUUUUGGAACGGAACCGGCAGAAAAAGCACGGGCAAACUACGU
This 464-nucleotide ribosomal RNA is filed under the name uncultured bacterium. Its description in RNAcentral is "partial 16S ribosomal RNA". It matches the Rfam family "Bacterial small subunit ribosomal RNA", at positions 28 to 506 of the family's 1533-position model. The record is from RNAcentral.